RNAcentral lists this non-coding RNA (28 nucleotides) under Bos taurus (domestic cattle). The record is from RNAcentral. RNAcentral also lists the same sequence under 2 other names. Lineage: Eukaryota; Metazoa; Chordata; Mammalia; Artiodactyla; Bovidae.
CUGGGCCCAUAACCCAGAGGUCGAUGGA